RNAcentral lists this ribosomal RNA (253 nucleotides) under uncultured bacterium. RNAcentral's name for it is "partial 16S ribosomal RNA". It matches the Rfam family "Bacterial small subunit ribosomal RNA", at positions 524 to 776 of the family's 1533-position model. The record is from RNAcentral.
UACGUAGGGGGCAAGCGUUGUCCGGAAUCAUUGGGCGUAAAGCGCGUGUAGGCGGCCCGGUAAGUCCGCUGUGAAAGUCCAGGGCUCAACCCUGGGAUGCCGGUGGAUACUGUCGGGCUCGAGUCCGGAAGAGGAGAGUGGAAUUCCUGGUGUAGCGGUGAAAUGCGCAGAUAUCAGGAAGAACACCAAUGGCGAAGGCAGCUCUCUGGGACGGUACUGACGCUGAGACGCGAAAGCGUGGGGAGCGAACAGG